CACGUAGGGGGCAAGCGUUGUCCGGAUUUAUUGGGCGUAAAGAGCUCGUAGGCGGCUUAGUAAGUCGGGUGUGAAACCUCCAGGCUCAACCUGGAGACGCCACCCGAUACUGCUGUGGCUAGAGUCCGGUAGGGGAGCGUGGAAUUCCUGGUGUAGCGGUGAAAUGCGCAGAUAUCAGGAGGAACACCAGCGGCGAAGGCGGCGCUCUGGGCCGGUACUGACGCUGAGGAGUGAAAGCGUGGGGAGCAAACAGG
Molecule: ribosomal RNA, 254 nt
Filed under: uncultured bacterium
Lineage: Bacteria
Description: partial 16S ribosomal RNA
Rfam family: Bacterial small subunit ribosomal RNA
Source: RNAcentral